This is a long non-coding RNA of Vitis riparia (riverbank grape), 464 nucleotides long. RefSeq lists it as uncharacterized. NCBI's taxonomy places the organism in Eukaryota, Viridiplantae, Streptophyta, Magnoliopsida, Vitales, Vitaceae. The record is from RefSeq and is a predicted model, not a curated record. The transcript has 2 exons.
AGAAGUGUCACCUAUAUAACCUUCUGGAGUUAAAAAGAGUUUCGAUCUUCGAAUCAGGCAGAUGUGGGACAUCGAAGCAGUCAAAAUCAUAUGAGGUGAAGCUGGGAUCAAACUCUUUGGCAUGUGGCAAAGCACAAGAAAAGAAACAUUCCAUCCAAACAGAAUGUGGGCAGAACUUACGAACUCCAAAUCAUGCAUAUGGAGGAAGCUUUUAUUCAGAUACUGAUCACUUGUUGCUGCAUUGUCAAUAACUGAAGGGAUUGUGAUCUUUGUGUUGUGUGUGCUUCCAAGAAUGACGGGGAAGAUGCAGAUCUAUGAUUUUUUUUCUUUUGUUUCCAUCGCAACAGCUACUAAGAUGUUGAGAUGAAAACAUAACCACACCAUUUUCAACCAGGAGAGUUCAUUGAAUUGGCUAGUCUCAAGUUCCUCACCCUAAUCAAAUAGGUGCAGCCACUUGAUAAAUA